AAAACAGAAAAAGCUUCCAAUUUUAAUUGCUUCUCUUUUCAAAGGUUCAAGAAUUUUUUUAUCUGUUUCCUCCAUCUCUUUAGAUCCCCUAUCUCUCCAAUUUGCAUGACAGAUUACUCAUCUAUUAGACCGGCAAGCUGUGCAAUUGUUCUUUCUCGACCUCCUCUUCUGCAAAAAUAGGUACUCCUCUGCUCGUAUUCCACUGUUCCUUUCGUCUCAAACUCUCCAUCGCAAGUAGAUGAGCCACUCCAUUUUUUGAUCGUUCCCCGCAUUUGAACUUGCAUAUUUGAAAACUCUUGCUAUGCCCUUGAUAGUCUUUUAUGUAGGCAUGGAUUUCCAAUUUGUCAGUAUCCCUCCGUUGUGCUUUUUUGAUGACAAACAAGGCAUCACCUUUUAUCUCCAUGGUAGUGAAAUCCAAAUUUAGUCUUAUUUAAAAGUUGUAUGUAUUGCUUUAUCAUGUAUGGUAAGUAAAUUAAAGGUAAGUAUUGUUAAAUUUGAAAUGUAUUAACUGUUAUACGAAAAUUUGAAAGUGAAAACCCUAUUAACAGUGUCGAGCUAGUCAGAUAUAGUUGGCAUGCCAUAGGAUUGGAAGUGUUCAGGGAUAUUCCGAAUUUGUGUCGAUGAGGCACUAUAAGUUUCAAUUACUGUUACUCUUCCAGAUUCGUUCCGAUGAGGUAUUCUGUGUACCGCUAUUGCUACUGCUACUGUUACUUUUACUGUUACGGUGUAUUCUGGCUUUGGCCGAUGAAACACUGUAUACUAUCCCGGUGUGUGGGUUGGAUCCGUGUAUCCGUCCAAGUUCGAGUUAUGUUAAUAGGGGUAAAUUACUGCACUGAAGAUUGAAUGAUAAUGACUGAACUGAAUAUCUUACUGGUUUCGAUUCUAAUGAUAAAUGUUACGGGCAUGUGAGACACACGGGUUGUACACGGGCAUGUUGAUAGACCGUGUGUCCCUUACAUCCUUAAAUAUAUAGUCAGGAUAGAACACGGGCAAAAGACACGGCUGUGUGUCUUGGUCGUGUGAGGGACACGGGUUUCAAGUAUGGUCGUGUGUCAAAAUCGUGUGAAAUGGCUUAAAAAUGGUGAAAAAUCAGUUUACCACACGGCCUAGCCACAUGGGCGUGUGUCCAGGCCGUGUGCCCCUUUAAUGCUUAAGAAACUGCAAGUCAGAAUUGCCCACGGGCUGGCUACACAGCCAUGGGAGCCACACGGGCAUGUGCCCCUAACUUUCAAGAAUUUUUUUUUUAAAGUUUCCAAAGUUACCGGUUUAGUUCCAAAGCAUUUCUAAAGCAUGUAAUGGACCCCGUAGGCCCAUAUUAGGGACUUUAUGGUGAAAUUUCAAAAGUUUUGAUUUGGAAAGCAAAUUUAUGACUUGGUUUUGUAUAAAUGCUAGUGUAUAAGUUAGGUAAUGCCUCAUAACCCUAUUCCAGUGACGGAUACUGUAACACCCCCAACCCUUAUCCAUUGCUGGAAUAAGGUACGAGGCAUUACCGGAGUUUACUAAACAUUUUCAGAUAAUUUUGAGUCAUUUAUUAUUCAUAUUUUGAAAAUAACCACAACGUUUCUCUAUUGGGCCCUCGAAGCCCCAAACAUACAUUAAAAACCAACCGAAAUUAAAUCGGGAUCAUAAAAAAUUUUUGCAAAAUCUUAAAUUAUAUUUUCAUCUAAGUACUUACCAUUUCAAUGCUCCUUAUAAUUAAACAUGUUACCAUUC
RNAcentral lists this long non-coding RNA (1713 nucleotides) under Gossypium barbadense (sea-island cotton). RNAcentral's name for it is "long non-coding RNA (GBAR_LNC010214)". The record is from RNAcentral. Lineage: Eukaryota; Viridiplantae; Streptophyta; Magnoliopsida; Malvales; Malvaceae.